GAUGAAGAACGCAGCGAAAUGCGAUAAGUAAUGUGAAUUGCUGAAUUCAGUGAAUCAUCGAAUCUUUGAACGCACAUUGCGCCCCCUGGUAUUCCGGGGGGCAUGCCUGUUCGAGCGUCAUUUCACCACUCAAGCCUCGCUUGGUAUUGGGCAACGCGGUCCGCCGCGUGCCUCAAAUCGUCCGGCUGGGUCUUCUGUCCCCUAAGCGUUGUGGAAACUAUUCGCUAAAGGGUGUUCGGGAGGCUACGCCGUAAAACAACCCCAUUUCUAAGGUUGACCUCGGAUCAGGUAGGGAUACCCGCUGAACUUAAGCAUAUCAAUAAGCGGAGGA
RNAcentral lists this unclassified non-coding RNA (331 nucleotides) under soil metagenome. RNAcentral's name for it is "partial contains 5.8S ribosomal RNA, internal transcribed spacer 2, and large subunit ribosomal RNA". The stretch from base 1 to 120 matches the Rfam family "5.8S ribosomal RNA", at positions 35 to 154 of the family's 154-position model. The record is from RNAcentral.